RNAcentral lists this ribosomal RNA (497 nucleotides) under uncultured bacterium. Its description in RNAcentral is "partial 16S ribosomal RNA". It matches the Rfam family "Bacterial small subunit ribosomal RNA", at positions 28 to 507 of the family's 1533-position model. The record is from RNAcentral.
GAUGAACGCUGGCGGCGUGCCUAAUACAUGCAAGUCGAGCGAACGGUCGAGAAGCUUGCUUCUCUGAUGUUAGCGGCGGACGGGUGAGUAACACGUGGAUAACCUACCUAUAAGACUGGGAUAACUUCGGGAAACCGGAGCUAAUACCGGAUAAUAUUUUGAACCGCAUGGUUCAAAAGUGAAAGACGGUCUUGCUGUCACUUAUAGAUGGAUCCGCGCUGCAUUAGCUAGUUGGUAAGGUAACGGCUUACCAAGGCAACGAUGCAUAGCCGACCUGAGAGGGUGAUCGGCCACACUGGAACUGAGACACGGUCCAGACUCCUACGGGAGGCAGCAGUAGGGAAUCUUCCGCAAAGGGCGAAAGCCUGACGGAGCAACGCCGCGUGAGUGAUGAAGGUCUUCGGAUCGUAAAACUCUGUUAUUAGGGAAGAACAUAUGUGUAAGUAACUGUGCACAUCUUGACGGUACCUAAUCAGAAAGCCACGGCUAACUACGUG